AACGAACGCUGGCGGCAUGCCUAACACAUGCAAGUCGAACGAGACCUUCGGGUCUAGUGGCGCACGGGUGCGUAACACGUGGGAAUUUGCCUCGGGGUAUGGAAUAACUCAGGGAAACUUGAGCUAAUACCAUAUAAUGUCUUCGGACCAAAGAUUUAUCGCCCUGAGAUAAGCCCGCGUAGGAUUAGCUAGUUGGUGGGUAAAGGCUCACCAAGGCGACGAUCCUUAGCUGGUCUGAGAGGAUGAUCAGCCACACUGGGACUGAGACACGGCCCAGACUCCUACGGGAGGCAGCAGUGGGGAAUAUUGGACAAUGGGCGAAAGCCUGAUCCAGCAAUGCCGCGUGAGUGAUGAAGGCCUUAGGGUUGUAAAGCUCUUUUACCCGGGAUGAUAAUGACAGUACCGGGAGAAUAAGCUCCGGCUAACUCCGUGCCAGCAGCCGCGGUAAAGUGACUACUG
RNAcentral lists this ribosomal RNA (459 nucleotides) under uncultured bacterium. Its description in RNAcentral is "bacterial SSU rRNA". It matches the Rfam family "Bacterial small subunit ribosomal RNA", at positions 29 to 534 of the family's 1533-position model. The record is from RNAcentral.